GUCUUGUAUGCUCCUGAUUUAUCCACGUGUCACGUGACCCCAAAAAACCCUCUCCCCAGAGUUGGUAAUACAAAGACAUGACAACCUCCCUCUGGCUUCAGCCUUACAGCAAAACAGCCAGAGGCAUGCAAACCUUAAAACAUGCUAUGCGUUUUUCCACUUUUGACCCUCCAAAUUUACUUAAUUCACAUGCAAGCACCACUCUUUCGUUGCUCUCGAGUUUAUUCUUUGCUUCAAAUAUUUUGACUUUCUUUAAUGGCGGGACCGGAAACAGAAACAGGACUAGCAGCCCCGGACGUGGAAGCAGUGUUGGAUUUUCUACGCAAAAAUGGGUUGAAGGACGCAGAGUUGGCUCUUAAAGAGGACAUGAAUGAGAGAAACACUGAAUUGGGUUCCUUUGACUUUGAGAAGUUCUUGUUUGUCUUGCCACCCGUGAGGAUUCAGGCGAAUGGGCGGCUACUGGAGGUCGAAGGAUUUGGCGGCGGUGGCGAGAGGUUGCAACCGAGUUCUGGUUCUCUGUCGGCCGAUGAGUUUGUUAGCUUGGGGUCCUCUACUACUGCCAGCGGUGUGUACUCUUCAGGUAAGUUCUCAAAUCCAUAUGGACUUCAUUCUCCAUCUCAGGCUAAUUCAAAAACUUCAUCUGAUAGGCUGUCUCAGUUUGGCACAGCGUGUGAUUACCGUGAUUUUGACUUGCAAAAUGACUUUUGUUGGUAUGAUGAGAAAGAGGAUGGCCACUUCAUGACUCCCUGCUUCAAUGGGCCAGACUACUUUAGCUGUCCGAGUGAGGAUAAGUUUGUCAUGACAUCAGAGACUGAGAAGCAGUUUGAAAACUACUUGGGUUUGUAUGAUAAAUCUGAAGGUGAAACUGAAGGAACAGCUGGUUACUUGGAUAAGCAGUGUCUUUUCAACAUCACGUCUGUGAAUAAUAAAAACAAGGCUCACUCUAUGAGUUAUUAUCAUUUUGAUAUAAGAAACCAGCUUGAAGGAGACAUUGAGGGGGAUGGUAGUUCAGCCUCCAAUUGCAAAUGCUGUGAAAAAACAGGAGGGACUUACAGCAAGAAUCCUGUUGACUAUAUCUACUUGAGCUCUAAAGAAACUGAUUUAGGUGACUUUCAGCUAAAAGGUGGGGAAGGCCUUGCUGAUUAUGAUAUAGCCCAUGUGCACAUGGGAAACGAGAAUGCUAAUUACUAUUGUAAAAAAGGUCUCAACAGUGACUGGAUUGAAGGGUUUAAGAGUACCUCUGACAUCAUAGAAAAUGUAAUUGAUGACUUUGAAGUCGGAGAUGGUGGAGAAGUAAAUGGAGAAGCCCACGAGCUUGAGGCUGCUAUAGGUGGAGAAGAUAUUGAUGCUGCCGAACUUUUGAUGUACUAUAACCAGGAGGAUGAAUAUGAAGUAUUCAAUCUGCGAGUUAUACACAGGAAAAACAGGACUGGAUUUGAGGAAAACAAGGAUCUGCCCAUUGUGCUAAAUACUGUCAUUGCUGGCAGAUAUUAUGUCACGGAAUACCUAGGUUCAGCUGCUUUCAGUAAGGUCAUUCAGGCACAUGAUCUUCACACAGGAAUGGAUGUUUGCUUGAAGAUUAUUAAAAAUGACAAAGAUUUCUUUGAUCAGAGUCUAGAUGAAAUUAAACUUCUGAAGAUAGUCAACAAGCAUGAUCCGGCGGAUGAACAUCACAUUUUGCGCCUUUAUGACUACUUCUAUCAUCAAGAGCAUCUCUUCAUCGUUUGUGAACUCCUUAAGGCGAACCUGUAUGAAUUUCAGAAAUUUAGUCAAGAAUCAGGUGGAAAAGCUUAUUUCACUUUGAGCAGAUUGCAGGUCAUAACCCGUCAAUGUUUGGAGGCACUAGAAUACUUGCAUCACCUGGGAAUUAUUCACUGUGAUUUAAAGCCUGAAAACAUUCUUAUAAAGAGUUAUAGGAGAUGUGAGAUAAAGGUUAUUGAUCUUGGAAGCAGUUGCUUUAAGUCAGACAACUUGUGCCUGUAUGUUCAAUCUCGUUCCUACAGAGCCCCUGAAGUCAUUCUAGGUCUCCCCUAUGACCAGAAGAUUGACUUAUGGUCUCUUGGCUGCAUCUUGGCUGAGCUGUGCUCUGGGGAAGUGCUCUUUCCAAAUGAUGCCGUUGUAAUGAUCCUCGCACGCAUGAUUGGUAUGCUGGGUCCUAUUCAUCCAGAGAUGUUGGUGAGGGGACAGGAAACGCACAAGUACUUUACAGAAGAAUACGAUUUGUAUUAUUCAAAUGAGGAGACAAAUCAAAUGGAAUACCUUAUUCCUGAAGAGUCCUCACUGGAGCAUCAUCUACAAAUUUCUGAUGUUGGAUUCAUUGAUUUCAUGAGAAACUUGCUUGAGCUCAAUCCCCUGAGGCGACUAACUGCAAAGGAGGCACUAGAGCACCCAUGGCUUUCACAUUCUUACUGAAGUUCUGGAUGAGUUUAACACUCUUGACUAUGUUUAUGUCUCUUGUUUCUGGAAGGCAUCCUUCCAGUAUCAGUUUUGGUUUUCAGUGAAGUUUUCUUGCGUUCUCUUUUCUUCCUUCACUUGGUGGGGCUUGUAAGUAUCAUUUGAUUGGGAAUGUACCUCCAGAGCUGUCAACGAGCGUGCAGUGCUUUCAAAAGGCCACAUAAAUCUAUGUCUUUUCAAUGCAAAUGCGUUUUUAUACCCUGCCCAGCAGCGGUUUUUGUUUCUGUGGUUCAAUAAAAACAUCAAAUCUAUUUUUUUUU
Populus euphratica (Euphrates poplar) is the source of this 2714-nucleotide RNA transcript. It is a transcript of the gene named serine/threonine-protein kinase ppk15-like, with no coding region annotated. The transcript is spliced from 8 exons. The record is from RefSeq and is a predicted model, not a curated record. Lineage: Eukaryota; Viridiplantae; Streptophyta; Magnoliopsida; Malpighiales; Salicaceae.